GAACCGUACAAACGGUUAUUCGGGAAUCACUGGGGUUUAAAGGGUGCGCAGGCGGCUUGGCAAGUUGGGGGUGUGAAAUCCCUCGGGCUCAACCGAGGAACUGCGCUCAAAACUGCCAAGCUAGAGGGAGAUAGAGGUGAGCGGAACUUAGGGUGGAGCGGUGAAAUGCGUUGAUAUCCUAAGGAACACCAGUGGCGAAAGCGGCUCACUGGAUCUCUUCUGACGCUCAGGCACGAAAGCUAGGGUAGCGAACGGGAUUAGAUACCCCGGUAGUCCUAGCUGUAAACGAUGAGCACUGGGUUGGAGGGCCCUCCAUAGCCUUCCGGCCGAAGCGAAAGUGUUAAGUGCUCCACCUGGGGAGUAUGGUCGCAAGGCUG
Molecule: ribosomal RNA, 377 nt
Filed under: uncultured organism
Description: partial 16S ribosomal RNA
Rfam family: Bacterial small subunit ribosomal RNA
Source: RNAcentral